CUGAACAACUAAAAAGGUCAGUAACUGCCGUAACCCAUUUUAAGUUAGAAUUACUGCAAAAGAAAUCCAGGGAAAUGUCAAACAACCUUCAAAAUUAUUUUCUAUAAGAGAACAUUUAAUGAAUCUUCCUUCUUAAUUUGCAGUCAGAAACUUUUACAAUAAGCACAAUUUAUGCAGUGUGAUAAUGAACCAACAGUGCAGAGAAAUAAGGAAAUCAAUUACACAAGAGAUACGGAGAUAAAGGUGAACAUUUGUCAAAGUAAAGGGAAGAACAGCUGACCCCACUACUCGUCGUAUUUGGUUUGGUAUUGCUACCGCGCAUGACUUCGAGAGUCAUGAUGACGGAGGAACGUCUUUAUCAGAAUCUUUUUGCUUCUCACUUCGGGCAAUUAGCAAUAAUUUUUCUGUGGACUUCCGGAAAUCUGUUUCAUGUAAGUUGGCAAGGAAAUUUUGAAACAUGGGUACAGGACCCUUUGCGUAACAAAUUCUGGAUCAUCUCUAGGGUAUAAAAUGAUCAAGAAUACAACUGUCCAUUCAUAUUUAGAGGUACUUAUUCAGUGAACAAUCCAAUACUUAGCUGUAACAGAAAACAAUGUUACCAGAGCGGGAAAGGAAACAAGAAAGAAGCUGGUGAUUUAAGAGUUGCUGAAACAGCCAUCUCAAAGAUAUCUGGUUAAAAGAACCUUUAGGCCACAUAACGAGCUUUACCUAUUUCUCUCAUUCUCUCUUGCCUUCUGUUAAUAUAUUAGACUUAGUUGUUUAUUAGUAACCAGUAGCAUGAACAUCUACUUGUUUACAGGCCAAAAUCACAAGAAAAUAGAGAAUCCUGGUUCUCUAAGCCAAUGCAGUAGUGAUCCAGCAAAGUCAUGAAGGUACCGAAGAAUAUCCAAACAAAUUGGAAUACCAACAAAAACUUAUAAAAAUCGCACUUAAGACAUUCUAACCUUAUAGUUUAACAAGUACGUCAUUGUCUAUUAUCUUACAAACGGGCAAGCGUACUUCAAAAGGGAUCAAUACAACAGCAUUACAGCUCAUAUUAAAAAGAACAGGUCGUUUUAGUCAACAGUACCCAUGAGAUUGUAAAACUCAUUGAUCAGUGUUGAUUUGUGAUAGAGCAGUUAAUUUUCCUGAUUUCCCUGAUUAAUUCACAAUGAUAUGGAAACUCAAUCAUACUGUCCAAUUGCAUGGUGAUGUGCCAGUCCACUUAAUUUUCAAUACCCAGCAAAAACAUGAGAAGGAAAACCACCAGAAACAGUAACUUUCAAGGAAGCCGGGCCACAUAGCUAGGUUUUUAUAGUGUAAGCAGUUUCAGGAAAUACCUGAAUUUAUAUGCUAAUGGGUUAUUUGCAGCUGCUGGGGAUGGGAGUCCUCCACAAUAAGAAGUGAAGGACUUUAUUCUCCCUUUCCGAACUCGUACAUUGUUGAUCAUCUUCAUUGCCAUCAUAUGAUCUGAAAACAAUGUGUAAUUACAGAUCAAAACAAAAGCAGGUAACAGGAAACCAUGUGUACAUUUUGGUUUUCAAAAAUCUGCCGGGUUGUUAUUUUUAGAUAUUAAUAACCACAGAUACAAAGAACAAAUGAAAGCUUAAAGGAAAAAAAUGGCUUCAGUUUGAUGAAAAAAUAAUUAAAACUUAUAUGAGAAAUCUGAAUCCAAGACUAUAAAUCUUCAUGGCUGAAGUUGGAAAUGGGUUCAAGUCAUUAAGUUGCAUGAAAUGAUAGUAAAAUAUGAUGAAAAAAUAUGGACAGAAUGAUGCUCAAAAUUUCAGGAAGGUCCUUUUGAAGUCAACAAAUGCAUCUAUACUGGAUACCUCCUGAUUAUGACUCUACAUGAAAUUAAUAAUUUUAUCAUGCUAAGGAUAUUGUAGACUGGACUGGUAAUAAGUAUGUCAAGCCUUUGGAUCUCAAAACAUAAAACUUCGAUGUUUGGUCUUAUAGCAAAAUCUAGAAUGAAAACUGACCUAGGUACUUGCAUAUAAAUGACACCAUGUGUUCAUGUAUUUUUAAAGGAAGUUGUUCUUUUGUGAAUGCACUAGUCUAGGUGUGGAUGGCCUACUUAAGAACUAAACAGAGGGACUUAGGCCCCCUCAACCAAAAAAGAAAAAGAAAAGCACAUCAUGGAAGCAUACAUUAACAGUGUAAUUAUACAUAAUUUUCUUUAUAAUGGAAAUUACCAAUUCCUGGAUCCAAACCCAUCUCGCCAAGAAUAGUAAUAUCAGCAGCUUUUGCUUCUUCAUGUAGAAAUGACAUAGAAUCAUCAACGUAGCUUGCUGUGACAAGAUGCUUUUUAAGCUGAAUCAAGAGACAAAUCAUGUCCUUAGCUAGAAGAAAGAAAUAAUGUAAAGCAUAUGCAAUAUUUCUAACAUAUCCAAUAAAUGACAUUGAACUUCAAGAAUUUGUGGAGACAACAAAAACAACUUGUAUGAUGAACCUCAUUUUAGUAUCAGGCUUAAUUUUCCAUCAAAAUCAAAGUGAACGGACUACGAUGCAUAAUGAAUAUCAAUAUAGAGUAAAAUACCUUGAUGCAUGCAUUAGCUAUGAUUAUGUGGCAACUAGGGGGAAGUAAGCUGACAACAACCUCAACCUGCACAAGGGCAAGAAAAACAUUGGCAAUAUAUAAAACCAUGAUCCAGCACUUAUCUUAUCUUAUCUUGGGAAAAAAAACAUGUUAUGGUGAAGUUGCAGUGAUUUGUACCUUAUUGCAGCCAGUUAACAACCUCUGCCUUAUUCUCCAGUUGGUAAAGUAUCAUUCAUUAUAGGUGCAUGAUAUUUUUUCUUAGGUUGUGAAGCCAACACUCAUCUAAGUGUCAUUAAAUUGAUAAUGAUAGAAUUUAUCAUCACAAAAUUGUUUCUCAAGAACUAGUGCAGCCAAUUUCUGAUGAAUAUAUGAUAUAUAUCUCUUUGAAUCAUAUUGCAUAGAAAGAAGACUUUACCGGUGAAAUAUACUUGCAAAGACUUUCAUCAUCCAUCACAUCAAGCUGAACUGCCGAUGCAUUAGGAAUUCCAUCUAUAAUCUGCACCAGACCAAUUAAUAUUAUGUCAGAACUUUCUAAUGAAAAGAAUAGCAAGCACACCAAGUUAAAGCUUUUGAAUGCAAAAGAAUAAUAAGCACACCAAUUUAUAUCUGAAUAAGUACAACAUUGAUAUGGAUGCACAAUAUAACCAUCAUUAUUAUGGUUACUACUAACUCACAUCCUUGAGAAUUAAAAUUUUGUCAUUAUAACAUAAGUUGAAACCUUGCUGUUCUCACCAGAAAUUGAUAAGGUAAAGUUUAGAGGUUUUUUUCUCAAUUAUACCUCUUCUGCAUCCUUAAGAUAAAGAGAAGCAACGACAACUUCGACUACAUUCUGCCCUUCAAAAUCAGUAUUCAGACAUGCCUUGUACCAUUCACGAGAUGAAGUGUUUUCAUUUGAUGUUAAAAGCUCAACAGCUGGUCGACAGACGCGGCCUGCACCAAUAAUUAGAACAGCGGCCUUCCUUUUUGUAUCAUUUCCCUUAUUCAUGUCAUUCUGAUGGACUUUACCAACCUUCAAGGAAAUUCUAUUUCCUUCUUUAUUUAAAGUUCCAUUACUUUCAUCUGGAUUGGCAAGAGAAGUUAAAGAAUCAACAAUUUGAUUCAGAACUGCCCUAUCAUGUGCACCAACCUGUCCAAAGCAAUAGGAAAACCUGUCAUGAGUUUUGAAGAAAUCCCAUGUUGGCAAUAUGCAAUGUUUUUUGCUUAUGGUUAUUAGGUUCAAUAAAGUUUCCACUUCAAUCUUUAAUUAUAUGAGCAUAUAAAAAUAAUCGCUAAUUUUCUGAGCAUAUCAACAAACAACUAGAACAUCAAAAGGCAGCUAUCUGUCAAAAUUAUUCAUGACAAAUAAACACAGCUUUGACAGAGGUAUUUGCACGAUCACAGCUGAUUUGUUUCGUGUAAGAAAUCAAAUAUAAUUCAAAGAUAACUUAGAGAUUAAAAUAAAAAAGAACUGAAAAACAAACGCCAACAACUUAAAUUUUAUCCAAACGUGGGAAGAAAUUUCUCUUGCAUAAACAGGAUCAAACUGAAAUAAGGUCUACUUACUUCGAGAUCAGAGUAUGACAUAGCAGUAGCACUUUGACCCACUUGACACUUAACCAGGUGGAAGGAGCCACCAGCAGCUUCGAUGAUAUCUAAUGCCUCAUUUAUUAGGAAUUGAUCAAAUAAGUGUCCACUCAGAGAUACCUGUCAAUUAUAAUCAUAAGAGCAGCCGAUCAUGCAUGAGAUGCUGUAAGGAAUCCUAGGAUUAAAAUGAGUGGCCAAUAUAAUUUCGUGUGGCUUUGAAACGAGUAUAUCGCAAUCAAUUAUCUUUUAUCUUUCCAACUACAUCAGCUAAUCUCUUUAUUGAGCAAAAUGAGGCAAUUAUCUUUUAUCUUUUAUCAAUUAUCUUUUAUCUUUCCAACUACAUCAGGAUUAAAAUGAGGCAUCACAUCACCAAGAGUAAAACCUCGCUUAAGAUGGUCUCUAUUGGACUUUUGAACAAGUAUAUUUUACAAGAAAAAAAAAAUUUUUGUUUUGUUUUUUUAAUUAAAAUAAAAUAUUUUAAUUUUGAAGUAUUUCGGCGUGCUGUUUUGAAGUUGUACUGUUUAUAUAUAUAUAUAUUCAAGAUAAAUUAAUUAUAAAUUGUGCAAUACAAACACAAUGCCAAACAAAUAUAAUUUUAAAAAUUAAAAUAUUUUUAAAUGAUCAAGAUUAAAUAGAUCUUUAACUUAAAGUAAUUCAACUUAAACAAAAUAUCAAAAUAAAAUGUUUUAAUAUAAAUAUUUUAAAUAUAAAGUUAGGUCAAUGUUAUCAAGGCUAAUGGAAUCUAAAACAUCCAUUGUUUUGCUCAAAUUCCUACAAAGUAUAAAUAUGAAAAAAAAACAUGAAUAUAAACUAUAUAUAUUAGUGAUAAAUUUAAUUUUAAAAAAUUAAUAUCAUUGUUAAUGAAAAUAGUAAUAAUAAUUUUCAAUAUUAUUAUUAAUAUCAUUGUUAUUGAAAAUAGUAAUGAAAAAGAGUUUUUUAUACUUGGAUGGUUUAAUUAAUUAAAUUGAACAAUGUUCUAUUUGAUUCAAUGAGUUUUCAAGAGCGGAACGGAACAUGUGGAAUGAAAUCGGAACAUUCCGGCUGGAAUUUAGCUGAAAAAUUCGGAACGGACCGAGAUUUAAAAUGAGAUGAAAAUUAUUCCAUUUUGUUUCGUUUUUGAAUUGACAUAGAAUAUUUCAGCCAUUCUGGAAAAAACAGAAUGUAAUUCAUAACCUUGAUUAGAAUAGAAUACAAGAAAGUCCAUGUCCCGCGUGGGUCCAUGAUUUGAUUACUCACUAUUUUGUGUUAAUCUAUUUCUUGUUCCUUUUCUCUUGGGAAAUAGCAUUACUCAAGUUUCUCUAUUAUGCCAGCACCCUUGGGAACAAUGUUUAGAAGUGUCUACCCAUUUCUUUUGGCUAUAACCAGAACAUGUUGAGAGAGCAGUUCUUUAGUUCCACGAGUUUUGAAAGAAAGUUGGUAAACGGGUGUGAUCAGAUUUUGAUUACUAUAAUAAGAGAAGCCUUUGCAUUUUUGUGCUUCCAUCGUUUGAUAUGAUGAAAACAUUUGCUCCAUAUUUGCUGAUGGAGCUAGGUUUUAAACGAUGUAACGUUAACUUGAAUCUUUGGCUCCUCUACUUUGUUUUCUCGAAGAAAUUUGUAAUCAUUCUCAUUUUCCAGCAUAACUUAUGAAAACAAAUAGCACGAUCUACAAAUUAUAUUUAAUCUGGAAUACAAACGCGCAAGCAAAACUGAAUAACUUACCAAAAUACUGAACUUAUUCUUGCUAGACUUUAAAUUUGUAGGACUUUCUGCUAUAUCUCUGCACAUCAUGAAAAAGCGUUCAUGUUAUCACUAACAGAAGACAGCAUAUACAUAAAAUAGAUGCAAUAGCUUUCACAGAUCUCUUGGAUCAUUUGAAUGCAUUACAAAUUCCAAUGACUUGAUACUAUAGCCAGAGGUUUGCAGAAACCUUGUUGCUGGUCAGUUUUAUUUCAUUGCCAGGUAAAAGCAGAACUAGUCCUCUAAAACUUAAUAUUACCCCCGCCUUCUUCCCUUCUUCGACUAUAUAAGUUUCAAAGGACGAAGGUGGUUUUCAAACUGUGAGGUUUGAUCUGUAAAUCUAUGUGGUGACAUCCAAAACUGGUAGGCAGUAAUUCACCGCACAAAUAAAUAAUGUCAACGAGAAGGAAAGAAAAAAUAUUAUGAAAUGGAAUAAAAAAGCUUACUCUGAAUCAGACUUUCGCAUGCGUGAAAUGUAUUCAAACAAGGGGGCAAGUGCUCCUCCAUGGGCUAUGCAAGCAUUCCUUAGAUGUGAAGGUAGCUUAGUAAUGUCAGUUGUUGAAGCCAAACGGCCAAUAAAUUGGGAUAGUAUGUCUCCAAAAUGUUGGGAAGCCUUUCCAUGAUUUAUUGGUUUGGUACAUGUUACCAUGAACAUUGAUUAGAUAAUGCACGAGCACCCUAGACCUAUUGCUCAGAGAAGGAACAAUUACAAGCUUGAAGGUUAAGGAUCGGAAUAACAAACCUCUUUUGCAAACUGUGUAGGAAGAAUGUCAACGGAUAAAAAUAUCACACCAUCACCCUCCAUGUCAUAGUGAUACGAAUCAUUUAAUGGAUCAUAUCUGACAACCAUGAUAACCAAUCAACACAGGAACAGUAUGAUAGCAAUUGAAGGUUAUUGUUGGCCAGGAUGCAUGUUAGAGCCUCAGCUGGUGAAGGUGUGAAGCAAACUACAAAUACUAGAAAACCAAAAUCCAAGCACUCUAAGUGGAAUCAGCAGAGACAAGCCACACUCUUUCUCUUUAGGGAGACAGUUGAAAGAAAAGUUUCAUUUUGAGUUUCUGUUAAUCAUUUGUGACAAUUUCCUUCUUAGGUUCCAUCAUCCUUUGGGGUUGCACAUCUUCCAAGAGCAAUUUUUAAGGGGUGUAAAAGUUGGUUUUUAAAGAUGUUCGGUGUAUUCAUAAAUUGAAGGGUUAAAUGUUAUUAGAAAGAGAGAAAAUAAUUAAAUGAAUUAAUUUAUGCACCAUCUCUUAAUUUCCCCCAAAUGGGAUGUUAGAUUGAUGUUAUUUAAGAUCUUAGUUAAAGCUACGCAAGCAAACAAGCGUAGUAAAACACCUAAACGACUCCCUGCACGAUCAUCACCAUCUCCAAUUUCAGUCAAACUAAACAAGGAAAAAAUCAAUGAAGCAGGGGACAAGAAAAGAGUUGGCAUACAAUGUAUUUCAUGAAAUACAAGAAGCUAAAACGUAAUACCUCACGAAUGGUGAGUCAAUUGAUGUGGUUUGGUUAAUGAACUCUAAUGAGCCCUCAAUAUCACAAGUUAUGUCAGCAAUUCCAAUAAGCGGACAACCUCUCCUCGUUAGAUCUUGAAGCUGCUGGGUACUCAACAACCGAGGAAAUCUUUUUUCCCAGUACAUGCAAUUGACUGCAGUACAGUAAAGUUAAACAGUUACUAAUAGCACACAAUGAUUCUAUAACUAAAAGGAGAGAGAAACACAUUAAUAUACUAGAAGUUUGGCCAUUUAAUUAGAAACUUUUUAUCUAUUCAUCUACCAAGAAAAAAGGAUUUCUAUAACUAAAAGGACAGAGAAACACAUUUUGACCCGAAUUUGGGUAGUUUGUAAGCAUAAAUCAGGAGCUUGAGUAUAAGCAUAAAUCAGGAGCUUGGGCUCAAAAAUUAUUUUUGAGAUAAUCUAAUAAGGCUUGACAAUUUGGAGGUCAACAAGGAAACUCCAUCAGCAAGAGCUCGCUUGUAAUAGCAGAAACUUUACUGUGUGAACUCAGUAAUGACAAUAUCUUACGGAAAAAUAAAUAUUAUACCAAUAACAGAUGCAUAUGGGGCUAUUUUUUCAUGGAAAAUGGGCUUGUAGUGCUCUGGAUGUGCAUAAUAGUCUGUCUGCACCGAAAACAAAACAUCCAUGGUCAGAAUAGUUCAAAUUUAACACAUACAAUCCCAAUGAAUUCAAAGAAACCAAGUGUUCACUCUUAAUUGAAGAUAAAUGGCUUCCAAGGCUUUAAAGAAUUACUAAGCACAUUUGCAUCUCGAAAGUUAGGAAUCUAAUAACUGAUUAGCACUUUAGGUUAUUAAGCAAACUAUAAGUGAAAAUUGAUUGUCCUUGGUAUGCUAAGAGUUAAUUGAGCAGCUAAAAUCUAUCGAGGCUGACAGUAAGGCAGUUCACACAAAGAUGAGAUAUCAACUCUAUGAACGAUACACCACAAGACCUAGUAGAAAUGUAUCAUGCCCUCUGGCAAGGGAAAAGAUAGUUGAUCAGGUAUGACAGACAGCAAAACCAGAAAUAGAAAUACGGAGAAUCUUACUUUAUCAAAUGUUUUUGAAGAAUCUCGGUGUUCAACCAUGUCUUGACAAGUGACAACACAACCAUAUACUUGGAAAACUCUCUUCGAAGCCUUUUCAGGUGGAAUGACAUCCCUGCCCUAAGCAAAAACAAGAAGUUGACUUAGGUGAGCGCCAAAGAAAUGUUGCUGAGCAAAAUAGCAAAAGAGACAGUGAGAAAAUUGAAAUGAUGAAGAACAGGAGUACAUAGUAUCAUUUUUAAAGUAUAGUGGCAAUAAAUUAGAGCAAAAUGAUGACUGAAGACCCCUAUAGAACUUUCUGUGGUUUCUGGUCAGAUUUUUCUAUUCAUCUUAACCUGUUCUUUAAAAAAGGUAAUCAGGUGGUUUCUUCUGCCAAAAAAGUUGCUCGAAACUUACUUGUGCAAACAGCUCUGGAAGUCUGCUUGGAUCAACAAAAGUGUGUGGAAGAAGCUUAAAUAUCUCUUGUGCGCCAUGAGAAACUAUUAGGAAAAGGAAAAGACAAGAGAGACAUACUGCAUGAGAAAUAUAUGCCUUUAAACGUUUGCAGCAGAAAUCAUUGUGUUUGCGUGUAUGUGGAGCAAUUUAAAUGUAUAAACAUGAAAAUCAAAUUCCACUGCAACUAGUAAUUGAAUUAACAGCAGCACUUAAGAAACAUGUAAAAUACUUCAGAACAGAAUGAUAUAUCAUCAAGUGAUCUAAGAGUGCAGAGACUGAACUUAAAACCAUGAUCCACAUCUUUGAUAGCAACAAUAUUGAAUCUAUCAGCUAAGGACAUCAUGGAUGUUUGGGAAAUAGAAAAUAAAGUAGCUCUUUACGAUACCAUUUCCAUUUCCAGAUCCGGUGAAUAGGAAUACCAAAGGACAGAUUCCUGAUGGCAAUCCAAAAGUAGCGAUCUCUUCUCCGACAGAAAUAACAGCAGCUUUGGCAGCAGCCAAGGAUGAAUACAUGUAAGCUUCACCCAAUGAGAGGAACGGUGUUGAAUAUCCAAGACUUAGAUAACCUGAAGAAAAAUUGUAGUAAUAAAAACAAAAGGGUUAAAAUCAACUCCAGCUGGAAUAUUCCAAACAUAGGAGAACAGGAUCAUCAUUUCAGCAUCACUAAAUGAAAUAAGGCCCUAUAAACAUAAACAGCCUCCUCGUACCGGAAGUUAAAAAGAACAAGAAGAAAAGGUAAUUCCACAACCCUUUCCCUCAAAGGAGAAACAGGGAAGAAGUGUGCAGAAGUAAUUGUGAUUGUAUGCGAACAAGCUCUACAAAAACGAGACAUAAAAGUGCAUAACAACAGUUCAUCAAAUCAACAGUGUAAGAUCAGUAAAAAGGAUUCCAGAAGUGGAGCAUACGCUUUCCUAAUCCACCCAAGAAAUCAAUGAACCCGGCUCUGCCAGCAAAUUUCCCAAAUGCAAGUAACCUUUUACCAUGGUCCCCAACAAUGAGUUCAUAGUCAUACAAUGACACCCUCUGAGCUAGUACCUACAUGACAGAGAAAUCAGCAUGAGCAAAAUUAUCAUCAUCAAUUUAUCACAGCCAACAAGGACAUGAACACAAAGAAAUACCUUAUCCAACAAAGGCAUGUUUUCUUUCUGAGCCUUGUGAGUAUGAGAGAAGAAGGCAUAAGCUCUAUCAGGAAGAAUCAUAUCCAGCUGCACCAAAACCAAACAAAUCCAAUCAAACUUCCAAACAUAGUUACCCUUCAAAACCAGAGAACAUACGAUCUCAUCACCUUGGGCUGCUUAAUUCCCACGAUGAGACCACAUUCGGACAAAUCAUCCGAUAUCUCACAGCCAACAUCCUCAUACAUCGCAUCAAGAUGAAUACGCUUCGUCGACGGCUGCACAAUUAACCGAGCCACCCCAGUUUUAUCCUUCCCACUAUGCAAAAGUCGAGCACAAUGAGAGGGGGUUAGAGGCGCCCUUCUUUCCCACUUGUUCCCUGACUCCGAGAGGAUUCCAACAACUCCAUUACCAAGCAUGGUGUACGUACCUUCUUCCCUGUUCUUCCUGAAUAAAGCAAGCAUACACUGAGCAUUAUAAUUUAAGAUUACCUUGUUGCAAGAUGACGAAACAAACUGUUCCUUGGUAUGCUUGAUUUUGAAACUAUUUAUGCCAUUCCAAACAAGAUAACUUUCAAAAUAAAAUUAAAAAAAUAUUAAAGUAGAACAAAACCAGAUGCACUUGCAAACGCAAUCAAACAAAUUAUUUAAAAACAUAGCCUCCAAUUAUCGUCUCGAUAAAGAACAUAAUCGAUCAAUAAAUAAAUAUAUGACGAUGGACAUGCUUGAAAGUGAAAGAAUGAUUAUCCAGAUUUUUUUAUUUCUUCCUCAGAGGUGGAACAAAUAAUGCAUGCAUGGAUUACAUCAACAAAUAUAAAUUUUGAACAAUAUUCUUAUAUAUGUAAAAGAAUAGUCAUGGCAGGAUCACAGUAAUUGAAACUUUAAUGAUCAAAAACCCCACAGUGAUCUUCAUCAGCUUUAUUAUUUGUUUUUACGUUUUAAAAAUGAUUUUUAAAAAUUUUAAUUUUUAAUUUUUUUUUACUUUAAAUUAAUUUUUUAAUAUUUUCAGAUUAUUAUCAUAUUAUUAAUAAACUUUAAAAAAUAAUCAGAGAUCAAAUAUUAAAAAAUUAAUCGUGGUGCUGAUUCAUAAAAAGAAAAGAGAAGAGAUGAGAAAAGGCCACCUUUUAAUCACAAAAGUCUUAGUCCCUCCACAUUUAAAAGAGAUAAUCUCGGAUGCAAGUGCUAGAACAGUCAUAUCAGCACUUGAUAAUGUAUUAUAAUUAAAAUAAUAUUUUUUUAUUUUUUAAAUAUUUAAACAAACCGCCUCUUACAACUUUUUCUUAAUUUUUUUUGUUACGGAUUUUGAACUAAAGUACAAACAUUUGAGUAAAAAACACUUUCGCUGUUUCAGAGGAAGAUGCGUUACGAGGUUUCAGUUUAUUUGUUUGUUUUUUCUUGAGCAAAGACUUGUGUGUGACUAGACGAUUAUUCUUAAUAUCUUAUGAUAUGGAUAUGGCUGACGUAAUUAGCAAGAAAGUUGUGGGUACACACAUUUCCUAUAAUGUUGUGCCACGUUUGUUCCAUUUGUGAGUUAUCUACCCACGUCCACCCGCACUUCUUUCGAGUUCGUGGUUACUUCUUAUUUUAGAAUAGACCAUAAAAAUAAAGUAUUUGGUUAUAUUUUAAAUGUAAAUUAUUGUUUAUGAACCCGUUAACAUUUUCGUUGAAACCACAGGAUAAAAAAGGGUAGCUUUUAGUUAUUUUUUUGAGACGUAUUUCACAAGGUGAAUAGUAUAAAGUGAAUUAAUUCACUCUUCACUGUUUACUCUGCACAGUGAAUAGUGAAUUAUUUCGUUGUCCACAAUUCACUGUUGACGUGAACAGUGAAGAAUGAAUUAAUUCAUUCUCUACUAUUCACGUUAAUAAUGAAGAGUGUUUUUAUUGUUCAUGGUCAGACCGGAUCCAACCCAAAUCUAAGUGCAAAUUUUAUAAUGAAGUAAGGUGCAAGCAGCGAUUUUUCAUGUGGGAGAUUCAGUGAGGUGAAAAACAAACUCUUAAUUAGAUGUUCUUGUACUCGCCAUCAUGUUUUCAUAUGGCUAUGUCAUCCAAAUUUAGAUGCUACAUGGAUUUCAGAGGCUGACUUUCUUGCAUUGGAUCUCGAGCUUCGGGAUGCUUAUCCCCAGACAAACUCUCCAUCCUCAAGUUCUUUCUAACCCGGGAAGAAUGAUGCGGGUCCGCAUAAUAGAUUUUGUAGGGAUAUUUAUUUUAGAAAGAAACUAGAUUAGUUACAUGGGCGGAUCAAAAACAUUUAACUCAAAAAUAAUAAUUUAAGAGAUGAUUAUGUUUUUUUAAAAAGUAAAAAAUAAUUGAUAAUCCGUUAAAUUUUAAUUAAUUUAAUAAUAUGAUAAAAAAAAUAAGGUGACAGCAAAAUAAAGAGCCAAAAAAAUAGAAAAUAAAAAUAAAUUUUUAAGACAAAUUUCAAAGCCCCUAUUUAUUUCACUUGUUUUUUUUUUAAGUCCUUUAUUUUUCAAUUUAAUUAUCUCUAAACAAAAUUAUACAAUUGAGUGUUGAUUUGAAUUUAAAAAAACUUAAUCGUGCAAAAUAAAAGUUAAAGAAUCAAUUAAAAAAAUAAAUAAAUCAAUGCUCCAAUCCACCAUAUAUGUGAGAUAGUGAGUAAUAAUCACAUGUUAAUAUAGUGUUUAAUUAUAGUUUUUGAGUCUCUCUCUCUUGGUCCCUUAAAGAUUGAUUGAGUGUGCUCCCAUGAUUUGGCGAUCUUGUUCGUGCAUGCAGCAUAUCAGCUCUUUCUUGAGACAAAGCAUUAGCACAUGAAUGGAAGGCUCUUUUCCAUGUUUCUUAAUUUAUUACUUGCAACUAAUUUUUCUCAGAUGAGUCUGAAGAUGAGAGUGAUAUUAUGGAAGCUUCUGAGGAUAAUGUGGACGGGGAGGACACUUUCAUGAACACUUAUUCUGAUGCUCUGAAUGAGGAACUGAAGAACACCACCCUUAAGAAAAGUUUGUUCAUAAUGUAAAAAUUAAGGAAUUAAGAAAUUUUUUUGGAAAUACAAGAUUUCUUCAAGUAAUCUCAAGUCUUAUUCAUCUAUGGUUGGAUAAAAUCUAAAACGAUCCAUAAAAAUUCUUUGACAAGACCUUAGAGAUAAAUGUUGCUUGAUUUCACAAAUAAACCAUCCAGUUUCAUAACAUCAUAGGCAUAUCAUGAUCAGUUUAACCUUUCAAUUAUAUGUCAACAUCUGUACAGGGAAAUGAAACCAGAGAUGUACCGAACAGUCUCGGGUCACUCAACCUUCUCCAUCACCUUGAUGCCAUACGCUUGUAAGAUGUCCAGUGCUGCAAGACCACCAAACAUAUCAUCAUUCAAAAACAUAUUUCAAUGUCAUGUCUUCUCAGCAGCACCAUAACCGGAGAGGAGUGGAUUUUCAUUUACCUGGUACAUAUACUUCAGGUUCAAAAGGUCUCAAGACACCUCUUGUAUUGAUCUUGUUCUCUAGCAAGAGCUGUGGAAAUUGAAAUCAACGUCUUGGUUAGAGCAUUCCCUGAAAACUGAUGAAAAUAAAAAUAACAGUGCUGGAGAAUUGAAGCAAACAAAUACCAGAGCUCCAAUGGCCACUGGAAUACCAACAGUGAGAGCCAUGGCAGUGGUUGUUUUCCCAUUCCCGGUCCUUCCAAAUUCUAGUAGUGUGCCCUUAUGGUUCUCUGUAGCUUGGCUGUCAGGGAAUUCUACCUCCAUUUCAUGAUGCAAAAGCACCAUAUCCUGACCAUAAAUUUCACAAGUGGGAAUUAUUAGUUUCUGCCAAGAACAAGGAAUCAUUAAAAAAAAAAAAAACUGAAUUAUAUGACACUACGUAUAUUAUUUUACUGCAAGGUGCAUACCUGUUCUGUGCUGGAAUAGGCCAACCUUUCUUCCAUGCGGUAACAGGUAACAUCAAAUGCACUUUGGCAGGAGACAGGAAUUUCUGUCUGCUCAUGAAGUCCUAAAUAUCUAGUCCACACGGUAGAACAAUACUUGAUAUGAGUAUGUCACAGCAUGCAAAGCAGUUGAUAAUAAAUAAAAUUACUACUGAUUGGAAUAGGUUUAUGCAAUUGCAGCUAUUCCACCAUUUACUAUGCAUCUCAGCCCGAAGUUAUGCAUUGUUAGUUUCUCCAGCAGAAUGUGAUAGCUUACAUAAUGGUUCUGGCCGUCCUUACUGCUGUUCCUUGCUCUUUGCAAUGCCCAAGUGCAACAAUUCUCUCACUAAUGUGCUUCUCUCCUAGCGGAACUCCAUCCGGAAUUUCACUAACAAUGUUUAGCAGUUCACAAAGGAAUCUUUUGAAUGAGGGUCUCUGUCCAUGUCUUAAAACUAGAUGAGAUUCAGUAUUAAAUAGACCAAUACUUGCAAGUGUCCCCAUUAUUUCGCCAAACCCUACACAAAUAAUCAGAAAAUAAGUUCUAGAGGGACAUACAAAGUUCCUUGCCCCCCUUUUUUUGAGGACACAAAGCAGAACAGGAAGCCAAGACAAUGGGGUGAACUAGGAGAAGAAAACCACUUCCAUUUUCAGCUAUGACAAAAAAAAGUAUGUUGGAUUUAGUUCCUCGGUUAACAAAGUCCUAGUGCUCAAUCUACUGAAAAAUAAUUUUUGCAAUUAUAUUUUCUUAGAGAUCAGCUUAAAUAAUACAUAUUCGAAGGGGCCAAAGACAUGUUAUACCUUCAUAGCGGAGCGUUCCACGAAAGAUGGUGGAUGCUUCAUCUUCUAUGCCAUACAGUUUUCCAUAAACUAAAGAAUUGCGAUUUGGAAGACAUUCUAAUGCAAAAGCUGGAAAAUUCGGUAUCCGAUAUCUGAAUGCUGAAUCAUAAAGUUUCUCACCUGUAAGUUCAAACAAUAAAGUGAAAAACAAAUCAGAAAAGAAAAAACCUUGAGAGAUUAACAUUGAUUCUUUUGAGUGAUCAUAUAGCCUUCCAUUCGUGUUUGAAAGUGUGGUUGUGGUUGCUUUUGAAAGUGUUUUUCCCUCUGAAAUGUAUUAAAAUAAUGUUUUUUUUUUAAAAAAAAAAAUGAUUUUUUCUAAAUGUUCUUUUGAGUGAUCAUAUAGCCUUCCAAUAAUGUUUUUUUAAAAAACAAAAUAGUGUUUUUCAUACAUUUAUGUAUGAAAUAAAAUAAAAUUAUGAAUAUGUGAUUGUCAUGUAAAUAAAUUAGAUACAUUUUGGUGAUAAAGGUCAAGUAUGAUUUUUUCUUGCAGACAUGAGAAAUAUUCCAUUUCUGGUCUAUAAUAAGAAACAAAAAAGAUACAUAUCCUACUACUUGGAUUUAUAAAUUUUCCUUAUUCCAGGCCACUUACCAUCAACAUGCACAAUUUCACCAUGAUUUUUAUAUGUGGCCGGAUUGCGCCCAGAUCGGAUGGCUCCUGCAGGGCUCCAGCUGAACAACUAAAAAGGUCAGUAACUGCCGUAACCCAUUUUAAGUUAGAAUUACUGCAAAAGAAAUCUUCCUUCAAAAUUAUUUUCUAUAAGAGAACAUUUAAUGAAUCUUCCUUCUUAAUUUGCAGUCAGAAACUUUUACAAUAAGCACAAUUUAUGCAGUGUGAUAAUGAACCAACAGUGCAGAGAAAUAAGGAAAUCAAUUACACAAGAGAUAAGGAGAUAAAGGUGAACAUUUGUCAAAGUAAAGGGAAGAACAGCUGAACAAAUUCUGGAUCGUCUCUAGGGUAUAAAAUGAUCAAGAAUACAACUGUCCAUUCAUAUUUAGAGGUACUUAUUCAGUGAACAAUCCAAUACUUAGCUGUAACAGAAAACAAUGUUACCAGAGUGGGAAAGGAAACAAGAAAGAAGUUGGUGAUUUAAGAGUUGCUGAAACAGCCAUCUCAAAGAUAUCGAGUUAAAAGAACCUUUAGGCCA
RNAcentral lists this long non-coding RNA (15700 nucleotides) under Populus trichocarpa (black cottonwood). RNAcentral describes it as "long non-coding RNA (PTRI_LNC001755)". Lineage: Eukaryota; Viridiplantae; Streptophyta; Magnoliopsida; Malpighiales; Salicaceae. The record is from RNAcentral.